Long non-coding RNA from Bos taurus (domestic cattle), 474 nucleotides. NCBI's taxonomy places the organism in Eukaryota, Metazoa, Chordata, Mammalia, Artiodactyla, Bovidae. The record is from Ensembl.
GGGGAAACUGAGGCACUGACAGAGAAAAUGCCGUUAGGAGAGCCCGGAGGAGUUGGCAGGGGAGAUCUUAGUUCCCUGAGGAGGGGUUGAACCUGCACCCCCUAUGGUGGAACCUCAGAGUGCUAACCACUGGAUCACCAGGCAAGUCCCACAGGCCGCAGCAUUUGUGAAUUAACAAGUUCUCAUCAGGCAAGAGAACUGUUUGCUGAUUGCCCCUCCACCUGAUUGCCUUCGACAUUUAAGAUUUAUCUCUUGUGCACCUACUGUGUGUCUGGCAUUGGACACAGCUGUGAUGAAAAGAGCUUGUGCGAAGACUCAAGGCCUAAUAAGGAUUCAGGAUUAGACGUAAGAGACAGGGAUUCGCUCCCUGGGUAGAAAAGAUCCCCAUGAGGAGGGCAUGGCAACCCACUUCAGUAUUCCUGCCUGGAGAAUCCCCAUGGACAGAGGAGCCUGGCGAGCGACAGUCCAUAGGAU